UGCUUUAAGAAUAAUAAUUUAAAGUAUAACCUGCUCAAUGUCAAGAAUAAAUAGCCGCAGUAUUACUGUGCUAAGGUAGCAUAAUAAUUUGCUUCUUAAUUAGGAGAUAGAAUGAAAGGUACCACAUUAAAUAUUUGUUUCUACUAACAAAACAAAAUUUAGAAUAAAGUAAAAACUCUUUUAUAUAAAAGCGGGACGACAAGACCCUGAUAAACUUAUAAUUUAGUUGGGGAAACAAAUAAAUAAAUAUUUAAUAUUAUUAUAUUCAUAACUUCAAAGCAAAAUAUAGAUCAGUUACUACAGGGAUAACAGCGUUAUUUUCUUUUAGAGCCCAAAUCCAAAAGAAAGAUUACGACCUCGAUGUUGAAUUAAUUGUUCUUUAUAGUGCAAUAACUAUAAAAGAUAGUCUGUUCGACUAUUAAAAAAUU
This 428-nucleotide ribosomal RNA is filed under the name Pholcus sp. DNA100446378. RNAcentral describes it as "partial 16S ribosomal RNA". The stretch from base 305 to 428 matches the Rfam family "Archaeal large subunit ribosomal RNA", at positions 2542 to 2666 of the family's 2987-position model. The record is from RNAcentral. Lineage: Eukaryota; Metazoa; Arthropoda; Arachnida; Araneae; Pholcidae.